This 144-nucleotide unclassified non-coding RNA is filed under the name Escherichia coli. RNAcentral describes it as "6S RNA derivative (112-MER) from Escherichia coli (PDB 5VT0, chain R)". It matches the Rfam family "6S / SsrS RNA", at positions 32 to 166 of the family's 187-position model. Rfam says of the family: E. coli 6S RNA was the first non coding RNA to be sequenced, but its function was unknown until recently. It consists of 184 nucleotides that fold into an extended hairpin structure with a large single-stranded internal bulge. The record is from Rfam by way of RNAcentral. Lineage: Bacteria; Pseudomonadati; Pseudomonadota; Gammaproteobacteria; Enterobacterales; Enterobacteriaceae.
GGACUCCCAGUCGGCACAUGCGAUAUUUCAUACCACAAGAAUGUGGCGCUCCGCGGUUGGUGAGCAUGCUCGGUCCGUCCGAGAAGCCUUAAAACUGCGACGACACAUUCACCUUGAACCAAGGCGUGUACCGUUACAGGGGUC